RNAcentral lists this ribosomal RNA (537 nucleotides) under uncultured Curvibacter sp. RNAcentral's name for it is "bacterial SSU rRNA". It matches the Rfam family "Bacterial small subunit ribosomal RNA", at positions 86 to 619 of the family's 1533-position model. Lineage: Bacteria; Pseudomonadati; Pseudomonadota; Betaproteobacteria; Burkholderiales; Comamonadaceae. The record is from RNAcentral.
CCCUUGAGAGUGGCGAACGGGUGAGUAAUAUAUCGGAACGUGCCCAGUCGUGGGGGAUAACGUAGCGAAAGUUACGCUAAUACCGCAUACGAUCUAAGGAUGAAAGCGGGGGAUCGCAAGACCUCGCGCGAUUGGAGCGGCCGAUAUCAGAUUAGGUAGUUGGUGGGGUAAAGGCUCACCAAGCCAACGAUCUGUAGCUGGUCUGAGAGGACGACCAGCCACACUGGAACUGAGACACGGUCCAGACUCCUACGGGAGGCAGCAGUGGGGAAUUUUGGACAAUGGACGCAAGUCUGAUCCAGCCAUUCCGCGUGCAGGAUGAAGGCCCUCGGGUUGUAAACUGCUUUUGUACGGAACGAAAAGGUUUCCAUUAAUACUGGGAGCUCAUGACGGUACCGUAAGAAUAAGCACCGGCUAACUACGUGCCAGCAGCCGCGGUAAUACGUAGGGUGCAAGCGUUAAUCGGAAUUACUGGGCGUAAAGCGUGCGCAGGCGGUUAUAUAAGACAGAUGUGAAAUCCCCGGGCUCAACCUGGGA